CUAUACUAAUUUUUGCCCGUGUAAUGCACGGGCUAGAUUAUUUUGACGGUAAUUUUAAUGUGUUAAAUGUGUUGGAUUUUCGUAAAUUACAUACAUCCUAUUUGCUUUUGCAAUUUUGGAUUAUCGGUCAAAGAAUGUAAAGAUUAGAAAAAAAGUCAAAAUUACAUAAGGGUUGGCGAAGCAUAUUGACCAUGGAAUCCCAUUGAUGUAUUCAAAUCAGAAUAUUUCUUCCCAAACUUACAAAAAACUACCUCUCCUGCUCCAAUUUUCAUACAUCAGAAACCAAAUUAUUUAAAGGAAUAUCUAUAUCAACCAUAUGAAACCCGGGUACCAAAGUUGUAACCCUUCUCAAGAGCUGGGCCUGCACCUUUCUAGGCUCCAAUGAUCUACUAACUAAAACACAAUGAGCAAAAUCACCAUUAAACAUCAAAGCAAAACUCAGAUAACUACGGGAAAACUAAAUAAACUAAUUACCUGGGAAGUAAAAUUGCAAAGAAAAUUUGCCGUCAACGUGAGGAAACCUACGGGCUCGAUUGGGUUGAUUGUUUUGUAAUGAUCAAUCAAAUGCGGCUUUCAUAAUCAAAAUACCAAACAGUUGGUGGGCAUAUAUUUAAGAAGUAUUAAAAAUAUGUCAAAACAAGUAUCCAUUUUCUCAAUAUCUCGUCGCAAGCAAAGAUUCUGAAUUUUGCUCAUCAAACCUCAUACUUUUCCUUACGAGUCACCUUUGAUCUUUUCCUUUCAUCCCCAGUUAUACAUCAAAUAAAUAGGAUGUAUACUAUCAUCAAGUUUAUUCAAAGCAUGCGAAGGUUAAUGGUUUGCCUUCAAUUCUUAGGAAGGCAGACCAUAUAUAAAAAGAUUAAUCUGAUUCUGAUGAAUUUAUCUAAACCACUAUAUUUUUUGAACCCUAAACCAAUAAGUUAAAAAUUGAUGUAACCUUUUCAGGAGAAUUAAAUACAUACAUAUUAAAACCAUAAUGUAAGCAGACUUAAUGUCGUACAUGCAUAUUUAUUCUUUAUUUUUUAACAUAAAACUACAUUGACAUCAAUAUUGUUUUCAAUGCAUGUUUAGCAAUUAAAACGAGGCUUAGAGUAUCGAUUGAUGAGAUCAAAUUUCUGAAUUAAGUUCUCUUUGAUUGUAGUUGUAAAUUUCUGCCUGGUGCAACGGCGCCUGCUGCCGCUGCCCGCCGCCGUCCAAUCCUUACAAACUUUUUUUUUUAUUUAGAUUUCAGAAUCAAUUCCAAAAUUAUAUAUGUGUGUGUGUAUAUACAUACAUACAAAAUCAACUUUUGAUUUCUUCCACAUGUAGAUCAAUUCCUAACAAAUACAAAGUAGACUCUGAUAUCACUGUUGAGAAUCUACUUAUACAUGUACAACGAAAAAUUAAAAUUAUUUCGAUUCCCAUCGAGGAUCCCUUUGUGUUUAGAUAAAAAUCAUGAUAAAUAUUAUACCUUAGAAGAAUUCUACAAAUAUUUUGCUUUCCUUUUUCUUUCCAGCAAUCUUGAUUCGCCACCCACAACUAUUCAAUUGUCCAUCAUCCAACAGUGAUCCACAUGGAAAAUAAGAUUGCAGCUAUCAGAGUUUUCUCCUCUUGUGCUAGCAAGAAUGAUUAUGAGAAAAAUCAUAUGAAAUUGAAAACCUUAGCCAUGUAUUUAUAUAAGCCCAAACGAGUCUGACCUAGUCCGGUCCAAUAUUUAAUUAAAUUCGGUCCGUGAAUUAAUUAAUCAAGUUAAUUAAUUCGGGUCUAUAAAUAACCAAACCAAUUAAUUAAUUUAUCGAACGAUUGUUAAAUUAAUUAAUUGACAAAUUGCAAUAUUCCAAUUCUCUUUCGUGUGCGACCCAUCAAAUUCCCGAUCAUGAUGCCUAACAACGUGGAAUAUUAUUUUGAUUUAAUCAAAAUUGAUAAAUUAAAACACCAUUUUAAUUUAUCAUCAACUCACACUCGCCGUCCCAGAUUGACAUCUAGCAAUGUGUCAGGGCAAUACAUGUGACGGGAAAUGUCACGUGAUAUGACAAAACCAAACUCGUUCGUUUACCGUGAAAAUAUAAUCCAUUCGUCAAUAUGAUCCGAUCAAUUACGAGAUAUGGAAUUGUGUCAAUCCCAAUUUCGAUCAUAUCUUUCACUCCACUAUUAAAUCAAUAUAAGUCGAAAACUUCUUUUCGACUUAUGAGUACACAUUGGCCAAGGAUUUCAUCAUCGACUUAAUUGAAUGAAAUGCAGAUCAUAAUCUCCUACUAUCUAAGAGUGACGAAUCCUUUAUUGAUCAAUCACAACCUUCAUACGAUUUUUAACGUACCCGAACGAUGUCGUAUUAGCGGCUCUUUGCAGAGCAACAUCCAACACUGUCAAAGUAUGACUGUCCUCAUAUAAGGUACCAUGACGACCUCAAGUCAAAGGACCAAUUCCACUACCGAACGUUAGAGAUUAACCACUGACACUCAGAUAGUUAUCCAUGUGGAAUCUCUCGACGGGUCUCCAAUGUUUUGUUCUAUAACAAAACAUUCACGUGUUCAUUUAAGUAUCACCACACUUUAGCUUGUGAGAUUAGCUACUUACUUUACAAGUAAAAAAUGCCACACGUGAUGGUCUAUCCGUAAUAACGAUAUGCGUAUCUCAUUAUUACUUACGACCACGGAUGAUUUAAGAUUCAAUCAGAUGUAAUUUGUAUCUUACAAUCACAAUUCAUUGUGAUUAACAAAUUACGAAGAUUUGAAUCUAUGGACUCUAUUAUUUAUUUAAUUGUCUAUUAAUUAAAUAAUAGAUCUGUUAUUAAAUUGUAUUAAUUAUAUAUCAAAAGUAUUUAUGUCCAAAGUUGAUUGGACCUAUGGCAUAAUACUUACAGAUAUAACAUGACCAGAAUGAAAAAGAGUGUGGUUGUUAACUUGCCCUGAAAGCAUUAAGCGUAUAUAUAUUCUCGAAGUUUCCUCACUUCUUCAGAAGACUCUUUGAGUACACGAUCCACAUAAAGGCGGAUUCCAGAUGCACUACUAUUUUAGAAUCAAUGCUUACCUCAAUAAAUCUAUUAUAACCCGUGUUAGUAACUAUAUGUUGAAACAAAGUUUAACUACGGUUUACCUCAAUGGCCCAAAAGGAAGCCAUGAGAGAUCCCGCUUAAACUUUGCCUAUUUGUAGCAUGGAUGUAAACUCAAUUAGAGUGGAAAUGAAUAAUAUGGUAUAUAAUGGAAUGUGUUCUUGCUAGUUGAUGGAAGCUAUUGAAUUAGAGAAUUAAACGGGUGAGGUCAGCAUAGAAAGAAAAAUAAGAAUGAACUCGUGUUUGGAAGCAAAAGGCAAACUAAAAAUGUAAUAUGAUCAAUUCUUCACUUGAAGUAAUUUCUGUAAAUUUUCAUCUCGCACUACUAAAUCUUAUUCUGAUUGUUAAUAUAAGCUGUGAUAAUUUGAAUAUGAAUUGUGUUUAAAUGACCGAUUACCUCAGCAUAAGGUGUAACCAGAAGACUACUAAGAGCAUACUAAAGAAGCAAGAAUACUUAAAUCAUCUCCAAUGGUACUUUGAAUUGUGCAGUAAUCUAGUGAUUACCAUGAAACACACCAAAAUAGUAACCCACUCUGUGAUAGGCUUCGAAUUAGCAAUGAAGUAAUGGAUAAGAUUAGCUUGGUAAGCCAUAAUUUUAAAAUUAAAGAAUAAGACAUGUCAAUACGUGAAAGAUUUUCUGCUAUGGAAAAUGUUCCUGUAACAAGGAGGCUGACCGCCUUCUUGACAGAAGCCCGAGGGUGGGGCCCACAAAAAAAAUGGGCACUCCCCCCUAUUUGUGGGGUUCGGUCAGGGGGCGGUCAAACCCCCUGUUCCUGUAGCACGCCCCUUCUGCUAUUGGGCAACAUUCAAAACUGCGUUGAUUUAUUAAUUAGCACCAUAGAUUUUUCUCAACAUCCACCAAAUUCUUAAUCCUUGACAAGGAAAUCUAAGACAAUCAUAAUCUGUAGGUAGGCAAACACCUAAACAUAUUUCACAAGAUCUUCUUUCCUCCCAAACCACCAAGAAAAAAUGUGAUCGUUACAAGACCUUGACAUUGCUUUGUUUGACUUCUGAAGUAAAUAUAGGGAAGCAUAUAAUGCAAAGCAACCUUAAUCUUUUAACUACAAGAAUAAGAAUUUUUACCUAUGCCAACAGAAUUAAUCGGUUAUUCAAUAUCUUUCUUUGCUUAUUUUCCAAAUAUUUAUUUGGGGAAUGUCAACUGGGAGGGUUAAAUUGCAUGAAUAGUAUGAGAAUACAUAUAAAGAAACAGUUUAUGCUACAAAAAUUAUAAGUGAACUUAAUUAAACUACAGUGGCUAAGCAUAUAGUGAUCAGAAAUUAUUGCGACAGUUGAAGUAAAUUAAAAUAAAAUAAAAAUGAUUUUCAGGGCAAUGCUGUCGAUAAAAAUAGUCACAAACAAAAUCUAUUUGAACAAUGAACUCAUAACAUUAUUCCCAGUAUGCAUUACAUGGACUACAAAACUCACCUAUCAAGAAAAUGGAAAUAUAGAGUUAAGAAGAAGAACCAAACCUGUACACAUGAUGCUCCACGAAUCAACCUCAUACAUGAAGUAUGCAUGAUAACGCUGUCAAUCAAAUAGAAACAAGAAAAAUGAACACAGACAAUGACACCAAGAUGCAACAACCCUUCCAAUGUCCAUUUAUGAUUGUGAAUCAAACCAAUUCAAACCGAGCUUAAUAUAAUCUUAGGCCACACUGAAUUUUAGACUAAAGAAUAAAUUGAAAUCGAAGCCAAAAAUGAGCCAUAAUAGGUAGGCUUAUAUAAGGCUAGUGUUCAUAUCAGAUAAGGUCAACGUUAUAAAUUUAUACCAAUAUUUUUUUUUAAUAAUCUAAGUUAUUCACAUCUUAACAUGUGAAAUUAUAAAGACAUAAAAGUGAAAAUUUAUACUUACCACUCAGGUUUUGGCUUCAUUUCGUUGGGAAACAAGAUGCUGUCUACUAAUAUGAAUUGGAAUUGAACUGAUUUUCAUUUUUUCAGAACAAAGAAUUCCCUUUCAACUUAGUGAAUUUUAGUUUUCUAUUGUAUUUCAUGUUUCAUAUAAAACUCGAUUGUACUUGUAAGCUAUAACAUAUUCAACAUUCAUGCAGUAUUUUUAAAAUGAAGGAUUUAUGUAUUUUAGAUUAAUGACCAAUUUGUGAGAGAAUCUAGCAUUACUCAUAAGUUCUCACGACUUCAGAAUGAGGGUGAACUAAGAAAAACUUAAUCCUUUGUCCUUGUUGACGCCUCUACUAUUCAUUAACUUUAGUCUCUUUUUUUAUUUUUAUUUUUUCUGGCAAAGGAGGUCGUACACAAAGAAUUUAAUGUUUGACUAAAUAUGUGAUUUUGAUAUUCCCAUUAAUUUUUCUUAGACGAUUAUUCACCAAAUUAUGAAUAUCGAGACAGAUAUUUCAAACAUCCUAGUGCAUCCUUCAUUCGUGUAUAAGGAAGGUAGUGAUAGUACUUUAUGGCAGUGCCCACAAAUGUUUAUAUCUCAAGAUCUGUUUAAAGUUCAGUAAUAUUAAUUUGCAUACACCAGCUGAUCAACAUUCAUACACACGACCACAUUUGGAUGAGAGGAAAAUGUUGGAUAAGAGCUUGGGAUGCAUAAUUAAUCCAAUUAUGAGUAAGUUUGGUUCUAAUUAUGGUCUCAGAUUAUGCAGAGACCACCAAUUUUGCUUAAAAUCUUGCAACAUCAAUAGCACAGAAUUUAUCAUACCUUGCAAAAGAUUUGAUUUCAUUAGACAUAACAGUAAACGUACUGCUAUAUUGCUAAAUCUAAAACCCUAAAUGCAUUGAACAGUAUGAAAGAAGAAGGAUACAUAUAGGUAGCUACAUGUUCAUUGAGAAUAAAGUUUAGCUUAUGUUUUUGAUAAAUUCUUAUCUUGUCAACCAAGCAUUUCACAAUUUGUCUCUGAACAUCCAUGUGAUGCAACUUCAAGACAUUGAAAUGUGGUCAAAUUAGAUAUUUCUUUUGGAUUAUCAUAUUCACGUUCUUAACUUCAAGACAUUGAAAUGUCAAAAAGAAUUCGAACUAUCUUAUUAUAUAUAUGUUUUCAGAGAGAGUUAUUGUACUAGGAAACAAAAUUUAUGUUGGAUUCCAUUUAAGACAUAUUACGACUAAGAACAUUAUUCAUAUUGUCAAUGCGACUUUUUGUACCCUGAAAUUCUUAACAAAUCCCUGUGAUUUGAUGUUGGAAAAGAAGUCACUGCCGUCCCUAGCAAUUUGACAACUUGACAUUUGACAUCUUUAUAAGUUUCUAGCAAUUUAUUUUUGUUGGACAACUUCUAUGCUUUAUCCCAGUUUUGCUCUACGAAUGGAUAAAGAGUGAGAGUUAAGUAUACACGGUCUAUUGGAAUAAAGAGCAUGUUUUUUUGCUGGAGCAUUUGGAAGCUCAUAACAUCUUCUUUUGAGCGAAACAAUGGCAAAAUACUCCAUUCCACACUGAAUAUAUUUUUAUUUUGCUUAUGUAUUUUAUGUUUAGUUAUAUUAAUAAUGAAUAAUAUUAAAAAAAUGUAUAAAUAAAUAAAAACAUGGAAAUAUUUUAAUCCAUUUGCAAUAUCCACCUAGUUCUAGAAUUCCUUAACCAUUCGUAUGAGUGUUAUUGGACUAAGGUCACACCUCUCAUUGUGGGCAUUGAUUGUGCUAAAAUUAGAAAAUCUAAUUCUAUAACAUUGAUAUUUAUAUAAUCGUAGAAAGAAAAUGGACAUACAAGAAAAUGCAAAAUUUAUAAGUUCGCAUCAAUGUGAUAUUACAUCCUUUACCACCGCGCAAAAAUUUAUAAUGAUGUAAAUAAGUUUACAAGAGAAAAAUGGAUCUCACUCACCAUUUUUCUCUAACAUAUAUUUCUCUUCUGAUAAUGAUAUUUAAACUCUAUUGAUGGCUCUUUAUUUAUAAGAGAAAAUUAGAAAAUUUGAAAGUACAAAUGUCAAAUUCCUAAUAAUAAUUAGGCUCCAUAACUUAAUAUUCUUUCACUAGAGACUAAUCCAAUAUCAAUGCCUCCUCUACAGUUGCAAUAACUCUUCAAUCCUCAAGAAAGAAAUUAAACUAAAGUUGUGUGCAACUUUAGUUUCUCAAUUGGAAUAGUCAUUGUCAACACGGUAGCCGAUUCAUAGAAUCUUCUCAAGUAUCAAGAUUUCAUCCUCCAAAAUCGAUUUGAUGAAGUGAUAGUGAACUUAUAUAUGCUUCAUCCUUGCAUAAUUAAACAUGAUUAUUUGCUAAGUAAAUAGCACUCCAACGGUCACAAUAUAAUACAAAUAUUUCUUAGUUGUGACCCAAUUCUUUCAAGACAAACUACAACCAUAUCAUUAGUUCGCUAGUGUUAGUCACAACAACACACUCUGCCAGAGCAGUGAAAAGAGAGAUUAUCUUCAGUAGUUUAGAAACCAAAUUAACUACUAUACCACCUUAAGUGUGCAAAUUAUAAGUAGCUUUUUGUUGAUGACCACGGGAGCAAUUCCAGAAUAGAAUCGUUAUAACUAUUACUCUUUUCAGCUGGCAUUAUGUGUCACAUUAAAUUUUUGGUCUAUUUUCCCAAAAGUGAAUUUCAUGCAAGUUAUUUUUGUAGUACUUGGGAUGUAGGAAUACCUAUUCUCAUCUGCGAACUUAACUUGGCUGCAAGAGGUUAAGAACAAAUAAUCGAGUUUGUGUUUUGCAAGGUAGCCAUAAUUUUUCUUUUUGUGCAUGGCAAAAUGAAAUUUAACGAUUUAAAAUUUUAUUCAAAAAUUUAUUAACCAAUCUUUUCUAUAAAACACACAGGAGUUUUCGCAGGAUUAGUAAAUUGUAUAAAAUAAAAGCAUUUACCUUUUGCAAAGGAGUGUAUAAUGCUAACAAUAAGAAUGAAGAACCCUACAAAUGAAAUACACACACACAUCUUAAGUUUAGUAAGUUUCACAAUCGAAGGUGAUAAUUUACACAAGAUUUGAACUUCACUAUUACUACUCAAAAAGGCCUUCUAAUUUCGAACACAUAAAGUGGAAAUUGAAAAAUUCCAGCACAAUAUUUNACGGUGAUAGACCAACAACUCCAAGUCUUGAUACUCAUGGCACCCUAAGGGUGAUCUGACGAUAAUUAUAUGACCAAGGAUUGGUUCACACUGGGGAUUCUAUUAUCGGUUCAUACCUACCAAUAAGACUUCCUUAACACCCAAGUACAUAUGGAACACUAACCUUUGGAAUUCAACAAAAAUACACUAAUGUGCAGUUGACCACUAUGAACUCCUAAGUGGUAUCUACAUGCUAAAUUUAAUAUCAUAGUUGUCAGACCCGACCCGUACACUGACCCGGACAAUACUAUGAGUCAAUGGGUUAGUGGUUCAACUGGUAACUCGGUGGUUCAACUGACAGGUCAAACCGCGUCAAAUAUAUUAUUAAUUAUUUUCAUUGGAUAAUAAAAUUUUGACAUUUUAUAUCAAUAACUAAAUUAACCUCAUGUUAUUUUGUUAACUAAAGAAUAACAUCAGCCAAAAUUUCACAAAUUUUAGAUGAAAUAUGCAUUUGAAACAAUAAAAACAACAAUCAAUGAUUUAAAAAUAAAUAAAUAAAUAAAAAAUUACCACGCUUGAAAACUGUGUGCAUAGGUACACACAUUAAAAAAACCCAUUCCCAUUCUAUCAAAAAACCCAUUCACAUCCCCGUCCAAAAAUGUUUUCACAUUUUUACUUCAUGGAAAUCUUUUCUUUCCCAUAAUUCCUAGAAGACUAGUCGUCAAAUUUCUCUUCUUUAAUUCAAGACCCAGGCCCCAAUAGUAUGUUAAUCACCAAAAAAAAGGUCUGUUUUUUAAUUCGAAUUCUAGGCAAUCUUCUUGCACAAAGAACUGGUCCGAAAGGUGAAAAAAGCACCCCAAAAAAAAUCAGAUUUACUUGUUCUUCUUCCAUCUCUCAAAACUUGAAAUUGGAAAUUUUGGAUUUUCUGGAGUGUUUGAAUAGCGAGGAGACUGGGAGACAGCAGUGGAGGUUUUUGAUUUUGCAACAAUCCCUGAAUUGUGAGGAAACUGGAAAGGCAGGAAGAGAAAUCAACGUUUUAAACAAAUAAGAAGACGACCCGGUCGGUUCAGCAAAAAAUGGAUCGUCGAGUUAACUAAAAAAUAGGCGGUUCGGCGGGUUGAGGGGGGUUAUUUGUCCAACAAUAACUAUAUGUGACCCGGACCGGAUCUGGGUCCGGUUCGAUGGUUUCCGGACCAAACCGACUGGUCCGGUCCGGGUGUGAUAACACUGUUUAAUAUAGCUCGAGGCAUGAGCACCACAAGUUGUAGACUGGUUUGGAGUGGGCCUAAAUGACAUACCAAGUAGACACUGGCAGUGCGCCACUACUCAUUGUAGGAAUUGGGCACCGCAUUUUGGAGAUGGUUGCUAUCUUGUGGGAGAGAAAAGAUAAUAAAAUACGAGCUUAACAUUUACUAUCCCUAUCUUUUACAUUUUUUGUUACUUGUUGUACUAUUGAAUUCAUUAGCUAGGAAGUACAAUGGCAUAAACACUACUUGAAGAGCCUUUACCAUGCCAUCCAUUAUUUCAGGUUCACUAAGAGGUUCAUCCACCUGAAUACAAUAUCGUACUUGUUCCCAAGCUUUUGAUGUACUUUAUUACAAUGCUUUAUGCCUAGAAAAUUUACAAAAGCAAAAAGUUAGCAAUAUAUCCAACCAACAAAAGUUUCAAUGAUUCACAAUGGAUUGAAGGACUUAUUUUACAAAUUCGACAUGAUUCUGAUGUCAAUAUCACAUCCAUGCCAAAUCUUAUAUAGCAUUCUACAAUCUUAUUAUUAGGGCUGGGCAAAUCUCCCGAACCGAACCGACCGAACCCGAACCGAACCGAACCGAACCGAUCCGAACCCGACGGUUCUUGUCAAAUUAAAUACCCGAACGGGUAUCUGAAUUGAGAACCGACGGGUACGGUUCGGUUCUUGGUUCUAGACCAAGAACCGAAGAAUCGAAUAAGAACUGAAUCUUUCUAAUUUUUUUUUUAUAUUGAGUAAAUCAAAUUAUUUUAAUUUUAAUUUUUUCUAAACAAAUUAACAAAUUGAUGAUUUCUAAAUCCAAAUUUUUGGCCCAAUAAUUUGUUUCAUUUCUAAUUUUUUAAUUUUUGGCCCAAUUACCCAUUUUAUUGUUUCAUUUCUUAGCCAAACAAGAUCAAAUCCACUAAAUAACCCUAAACACCUACAAUAAAGUGCAUAACGUUGUCUCGACUCUCGCACUCACUCUCACAGCCUCGCUAAUAUUCCAAAACCUAUACAAUCGUCGGCCGACACUCUGACCUCUGAUUGAAGCCGUGACUUUCGCCGACCGAAACUUUGAUCGUAGCGAUCAUUUGAAUAAGGUAGUUUACUAGUAUCUGACAUUCCAAAACCAUUGAAUGUAUCAUUAGUCGUAUUUAUAUAAAGUUGUUAUAUAUGUUAAAAAAUUUAAUUAUAGUACAGAACCGAACGGAACCGAACCGAACCGAACCGAACUGAACCGAACCCGAAUGGUUCCAUAAUUAUAUUUGGACCCGGCGGUUCCAUUUACUAGAUACCCGAAAAGUUUGGGUCGGUUCGGUUCGAUUCUAAAGAGAACGGAACCGAACCGACCCGCGCCCACCCCUACUUAUUAUCAUCCAUUGCCACAACUAUAUCAAUAAAUCAGCACCCAAUUAGAAACCACAGAAACCAAAAACUUCAACAUAAUUCUGUUGAUAUCUUUUGAUUUAUAAAUAAAAGUAAAUAGAGCAAAUGAAGUGGACCUCUGCCAACUUCAUCCAACGAUGAUGCCAUUUUUGCCCUUUCUCAUGAUCUCUGUAAUUGAGGAUUGAAAUGUAAAUAAUCAUAUAUCCAUAACAUUGUAGUCUCCACUAUUUAAAUAUCCAUUUCAUUUUUCCAAUUAUCCUUUUAGUGGACAUGAAAAUUACACACAAUUAUAUCUGACGUAAAACAAAUUGUUUGAUAAACCAAUAAGGACAGAUAAAUUCUAUGUAUAACAACAAAAAUGCAAAUGAAUAAAAUUUAUGUGAACAUGUGAUCCAAAACCUUAGGCCUUCAUGAAGUGGACACAUUUAUAUAUUUAAAUUUGAUAUUCAAAAGCCCCAUGAAUUCAUUUUAUCAUCAGCAUAUCACUUGCAAAAGUUUCAUGAAUUGGUGGCAGCAAAUAUGAACCCAGGUCUUUGUCCUAUCUCUAUCACCAUGUUAUCUAUUUCAUCUGAAUGAUCAAUGUGUAAGCAGACUACAUUCACAGUAGUACAAUUAAAA
RNAcentral lists this long non-coding RNA (11178 nucleotides) under Olea europaea subsp. europaea. Lineage: Eukaryota; Viridiplantae; Streptophyta; Magnoliopsida; Lamiales; Oleaceae. The record is from RNAcentral.